GACGAACGCUGGCGGCGUGCUUAACACAUGCAAGUCGAACGGAAAGGCCCUGCUUUUGUGGGGUGCUCGAGUGGCGAACGGGUGAGUAACACGUGAGUAACCUGCCCUUGACUUUGGGAUAACUUCAGGAAACUGGGGCUAAUACCGGAUAGGAGCUCCUGCUGCAUGGUGGGGGUUGGAAAGUUUCGGCGGUUGGGGAUGGACUCGCGGCUUAUCAGCUUGUUGGUGGGGUAGUGGCUUACCAAGGCUUUGACGGGUAGCCGGCCUGAGAGGGUGACCGGCCACAGUGGGGCUGAGAUACGUCCCAGACUCCUACGGGAGGCAGCAGUGGGGAAUAUUGCACAAUGGGCGGAAGCCUGAUGCAGCAACGCCGCGUGCGGGAUAACGGCCUUCGGGUUGUAAACCGCUUUCGCCUGUGACGAAGAGUGAGUGACGGUAAUGGGUAAAGAAGCACCGGCUAACUACGUG
This 468-nucleotide ribosomal RNA is filed under the name uncultured bacterium. RNAcentral's name for it is "partial 16S ribosomal RNA". It matches the Rfam family "Bacterial small subunit ribosomal RNA", at positions 28 to 507 of the family's 1533-position model. The record is from RNAcentral.